RNAcentral lists this long non-coding RNA (1104 nucleotides) under Bos grunniens (domestic yak). RNAcentral describes it as "lncRNA (ENSBGRG00000018362.1)". The record is from RNAcentral. Lineage: Eukaryota; Metazoa; Chordata; Mammalia; Artiodactyla; Bovidae.
GUUGAUCGAAGAAGAGAAGGAGAACACGGAGCAGCGGGCCGAGGAGACUGAGAGCAGGGAGGGCAGGGGGAGCUUAGGCAGCCUCUGUCGUUUUAAAUCAGUGAGCUCCCUCAACCUGCUUCCCACCUCCUCGCAUGCUGGCUCCUGCCCACCCCUGCCCAAGCCCAGAACGAGGCGGCACAGCCCGGCACAGGAGGGAGACCAGCUGGGCAUCAUGACUCUGGGUGAUACAAGAUCAUCUCUUAGUGAAGACCAGGGGGUGCUUUACGGAAACCACUGUGAGCGAAUGACACUCGAACUGCGUCUGCCAGCUAUACGGGAAGAGGUAGGAGAUGACAAGACCACCAUCAAAUGUGAAACCUCGACCCCCGCCUUACCGCUGUCCCUUCGGCUGGGCCGCCUGCACACGGGGGCGCUGCACACAGCCACCCAUGAGGACCUCAGGGACGCCCACAACUCGACAGGCUCUCAGGACAGCCCCGGGAACAACCCCAGCAGCGGCACCAGCAGGCAGGACUCGCUGCACAAAGCCCCAAAGAAAAAGGGCAUCAAUUAAGUCCUCCAUCAGCCUCUUGUUUCGCAAGAAGGAAAAGGGCCGGCCUGAAGACCCCAACAAGGAGGCAUUAGGACCAGUGACAUGUGUUUGGAAACUGCCUAAGUGCUCAUCAGUGAGGGGUGAAGUACAAUCUGUGGACACCCCACAAGGAACAGCCCGCCCUCCUUCCUGCCACCUCCCCAUCCAGGAGCUCAUCUGCCCAUGCCCCUACCCCACCCCACAGCCAUGCAGGUCCUCCUGAGGUCCCCUCAUCACACAGGGUUAUCAUUAGGCCCUCAUCUCGCUUGGCUUCAUCUCCUUGAAGACAGGGUAUGUUCCUGCCUCUUCAGCCACAAAUUUGUUGAGUCUUGUUUGUGCUGGGUGUGGGAUUUACGGGGGUAAGUAAAGCAGAUGUGAUCUGGAGCACAGUUAAGUGACAAGAGAGAAAAAGGAGCAGGUUAUUAAAUGUGAUCCCUGUUAUUAAUAUAUACAAUGCUGCGAUGGAUGGUGCAUUGAUUAUAUACAAGAUGCUGUGUGUGCCCCUUCCCAAGCAGGUGUUGCCCCUCAAA